RNAcentral lists this ribosomal RNA (467 nucleotides) under uncultured bacterium. RNAcentral's name for it is "partial 16S ribosomal RNA". It matches the Rfam family "Bacterial small subunit ribosomal RNA", at positions 28 to 506 of the family's 1533-position model. The record is from RNAcentral.
GACGAACGCUGGCGGCGUGCUUAACACAUGCAAGUCGAACGGAAAGGCCCUGCUUUUGUGGGGUGCUCGAGUGGCGAACGGGUGAGUAACACGUGAGUAACCUGCCCUUGACUUUGGGAUAACUUCAGGAAACUGGGGCUAAUACCGGAUAGGAGCUCCUGCUGCAUGGUGGGGGUUGGAAAGUUUCGGCGGUUGGGGAUGGACUCGCGGCUUAUCAGCUUGUUGGUGGGGUAGUGGCUUACCAAGGCUUUGACGGGUAGCCGGCCUGAGAGGGUGACCGGCCACAUUGGGACUGAGAUACGGCCCAGACUCCUACGGGGGGCAGCGGGGGGGAAUUUUGCCAAAUGGGCGGACGCCGGAUGCAGAAACGCCGGGGGGGGGAGGACGGCCUUCGGGUUGUAAACCGCUUUCGCCUGGGACGAAGCGGGGGUGGCGGUAAUGGGUAAAGAAGCCCCGGCUAACUCCGU